GACGAACGCUGGCGGCGUGCUUAACACAUGCAAGUCGAACGGAAAGGCCCUGCUUUUGUUGGGUUCUCGAGUGGCGAACGCGUGAGUAACACGUGAGUAACCUGCCCUUGACUUUCUGAUAACUUUAGGGAAAUGGGGCGAAUACCCGGUAGGAUCUCCUGCUGCAUAGGGGUGGAUGGAAAGUGUCGGCGGUUGUGGAUGGACUCGCGGCUUAUGAGCUGGUUUGUGGGGUAGUGGCGUACCAAGGCUGUGACGGGUAGCCGGCAUGAGAGCGUGAACGGGGACAUUGGGACUGAGAUACGGACCAGACUCGUAUCGGCGGCAACAGUCGGGAGUAUUGCACAAUAGCGCCGCGUCUGAUGCAGCAGCGCCGCGUGCGUGAUACCGGCUUUCGGGUUAAGAACCGAUUUCGAAUGUAAUAUAGAGUGCGUGACGGUAAUGAGUCAAGAAGCACCGGCUAACUACGUG
This 468-nucleotide ribosomal RNA is filed under the name uncultured bacterium. Its description in RNAcentral is "partial 16S ribosomal RNA". It matches the Rfam family "Bacterial small subunit ribosomal RNA", at positions 28 to 507 of the family's 1533-position model. The record is from RNAcentral.